GGUUGUCCCCAUUUGAUCUUAUGCAGGAAGAUCGAUAUCAGGCACCACACUGAGUGUCUUAUUGAAUCAGAGAUUGGUAUCCUGUGUGGGGCUUGGCUUGAUCUGGUGUCAGGCUCAGGAGCUGCUGUUCCAAGCCCGUGGUUGUUGCAAAAAGUUCUUAAAUCAAGGAUAACAAAAGGAGCUCAUGAUUGCCUCUAACAAGCAGACCAGCAAGAAACCAAUCAGCUCUUUCUUAGAGAAAUGUCACUUGAGUGUACUCACCUAUAAUAUCAGGAAGAAAUCUGUGGAAAUGUCACUUGCAGAAAUUGCCACUUAGUAAGUG
Molecule: long non-coding RNA, 322 nt
Filed under: Chinchilla lanigera (long-tailed chinchilla)
Lineage: Eukaryota; Metazoa; Chordata; Mammalia; Rodentia; Chinchillidae
Description: lncRNA (ENSCLAG00000022803.1)
Source: RNAcentral